Molecule: RNase P RNA, 408 nt
Filed under: Pseudomonadales bacterium
Lineage: Bacteria; Pseudomonadati; Pseudomonadota; Gammaproteobacteria; Pseudomonadales
Description: RNase P RNA component class A
Rfam family: Bacterial RNase P class A
About the family: Ribonuclease P (RNase P) is a ubiquitous endoribonuclease, found in archaea, bacteria and eukarya as well as chloroplasts and mitochondria. Its best characterised activity is the generation of mature 5'-ends of tRNAs by cleaving the 5'-leader elements of precursor-tRNAs. Cellular RNase Ps are ribonucleoproteins.
Source: RNAcentral
AGAGUCGGCUGGACAGUCGCUUCGCACCACACCCUGGCGUCAUGAUGCGAGCUUGUUCGUGGUGCCAGGGUGUGGUGGGGGGAGGAAAGUCCGGGCUCCACAGGGCAGAGUGCCAGGUAACGCCUGGGGGGUGAGAGCCCACGGAAAGUGCAACAGAAAGCAAACCGCCGAUGGCGUAUGGGUUUUCGGACACAUGCGACAGGCAAGGGUGAAAUGGUGCGGUAAGAGCGCACCGCACGGCUGGUAACAGACGUGGCGAUGGUAAACCCCACUCGGAGCAAGACCAAAUAGGAACCUUUUUGUGCGGCCCGCACAGGGUUCGGGUAGGUCGCUAGAGGCGUGCGGUGACGCGCGUCCCAGAUGAAUGACUGUCCACGACAGAACCCGGCUUACAGGCCGGCUCUGCAC